Molecule: long non-coding RNA, 6151 nt
Organism: Orcinus orca (killer whale)
Lineage: Eukaryota; Metazoa; Chordata; Mammalia; Artiodactyla; Delphinidae
Exons: 3
Source: RefSeq, a predicted model, not a curated record
GCGACACAUCCUUGUCUUUGAGGCUGAGCCGACAGAAAUUUCUUCUUCCAGUUUGAGAAUGACCAGUCAGCUAUGUUCCCGGCUCCUCUUGCAUUUAUUGGAACCGGCUUACCCAACAAUCCACAAAGGAGCUUACACGGAGGAAAGUGAAGCUGUGGGAACGCGCCCAGACCUCUAUUAAUACUGGUCUAUUGGAGACCCCUCCUGGCCACGCUGUCAGAGCCACUGACUCCCAAAGCCCGGGUCCCCACUCCCCCCUCCAGCCCCGCCCCCAGCCGGGCCCCCUGUGCGGAAGCAGCAGCAGGGGGUCCUGAUCCCGGGUGAGCCCUGUGCAGCCCAGCCGGGAGCUGAGCCGGGAGCGCAGAGGCUGCCACUGACCGUGACGAUCUCCAGCACUUCGUUCUUGCUGAUGCUGCCAUUGCCAUCUACAUCGUAGAGGGAGAAGGCCCACUCCAGCUUCUGGUUGGUCUUGCACAUGCUGGUCAUGUGCAGGGCGAUGACAUACUCCUUGAAGUCCAAGGUGCCAUCGCUGUUGGCAUCGAAGCUGCGGAACACGUGCUGGGCGUAGGCCUUGGGGUCGGCGUCAGGGAAGAACUUGGAGUAGAUGGUCUGGAACUCCUGCCGGGUGAUGCGGCCACUGGGGCACUCCUUCAGGAAGGACUGGUACCAGGUACUCAGCUCUUCCUCUGUGAACCUGGUGUUCAGCUGCAGCUCCUCCAGGAUCUCCUUGGACAGGGCUCCGCUUUUGCUGUUCCCCAUGGGUGAGCAGGUGUGGGCCCAGCCGGUCUGUUGCCGCUGGGUGGGUGGGUGUGUGGGAGGAAUGGGGUCUCCGGGCUGCCUAGCUGGGUGCUGCUGGAGGCGGUUGCACCCUGAGAUGCUGGUGGAUUAGGAGGAUUUGUGGCUGGUUCACCCCUGUACUUGGAGGGAGGAGGGGCCCGGAGCUUGAGUGGGGAGAUGAGCUCCCGGAAGCCCCCUGAGAUUAAAAUAAAGAGCUGACAGCAGGAGGUCAAUCCCUCUUGGCCUUCUGGGAGGAUAGGACAGGUGAUCCGAAUCUUCAGAGCCAAAGCCUUGAGCCGAGGCCUUUCCCACUGCCCCUCACCCAUCCCUGCGCCAACUUAGCCCACCAGCUCUAGCUCUCUAAGAGCAACGAUGUUCCCUGCCUGCCUUCUGCCCUACAUCUGAGGGUCUCAGCGACAGGGAUGGCCCUGUAAUGCAGGGGUCAGGAGCCAGGCUCUGGAAGCAGCCCAGGUUCAAAUCUCAGCUUUGCAAUUCACUAGCUGUGUGACCCCAGGUGCGUUUCUUAACGUCUCUCUGCCUAGAAUUCUCUUCCCCUAAUCUUUCACCUCCUUCACGGCUUUCCUUAAAUGCCGCCUUCUCAGCCAGGCCUAUAGUGACCAUUCUGUCAACAAGAGCACCCCAACCGUCAGGCUGUUUAUCCUGCUUGACUGCUCUUCCUUGAUCGCCCGUGCACCUUCUGACUUACUGUUUACGUAUUCUGCCUGCUGCCUGGGAUCGCACCAGAAUGAAAGCGCCAUGAAGGCGGGGAUUCUGUCUGUUUUGUUGCCCGCUGCAUCUCCAUCGACAGAAGGGUAUCUGGCGGGUUUGGGCCCUCAGUGACUAUUCUUUGAGUGAACAGGCAUGAUAAUAGCAUCUCUCCCACUGUUAUUGUGAGGCUGAAACGAGUUAAUACGUGCAAUGCAUUUAGAAUAGAGCCUGGCACGUAGUAAGAGCUGAACGCAUGUUAGUUUUUGCCAUUCUUCUUCUAUGACAGGGAUCAAAAACUAAACUGCUUACAGGGGCCAGCAAGUGGAGUGUGUGAGUGAAGCCGGGGGUCAGGGAGGCAGUAGGCAUGGUGAGGCCCACGCCUGCAUGGCAGGGGCUGCCGGUGUUUGACUCCAUUUGAACGUGGUCAGAUGGGAUUAUGGCCUGGUGUUACUAGAUUUUUUGGUAAGCCAAAAGAAAUCCAGAAAUCAGAUUUUCAGGUUUGAAAAUUGCAAUUUGGAAAUUUGGAAAAAUUGGAAAUCUGCAAUUUCCAAACUUUAAGAGUGAUUUCCAAAUUUUCAAAAAUUUUCAAAAACAUAGGGUGGGAUAAAUAUAACUUAUCUGUGGCUCCGUUUCAGCAGCAGGUCAUCAGUUUGCAACCAAGCCUGGUGCCAGGAGCUGGCAGACAACAUGCUUGUUGAGUGAGUGACUGGACAAGCAGGGGACAGGGAGCUCCACCAGGGGAGGCGUCCACCGCUGCGGUCAGCUCGGUCAGCAGAACAGGCCACAGGGAAGAGCCCUCGUGAGUAGGUUUACACCUGAAAUUGCAUCACCCAAAGGAGAGGUCGGUGGCGCCCUGGCUUGGCUGGGCGUAACGCCUGGAACCCCAGAAUCGCCGUCUUGGACGGGAGAGAUGUCUCUUCUUUGUCCAGGGGUGGUAACUACAAAGAACAAAGCCCACAGCGUCUAGGCGGGUGAGUCGGGGUUUUUAUCCUAUUUCAUAACAGGCUAAUGGCAGGGGAAAGCAGGUCCCCGCUGCUGGGAGAAAGCCCCCUGCCAGCCUCCCCUGGUGUUGCUCAGAAAGGUCCCGGAAGUUCAGGCACAGAUGUGCUGGCCUCUCCCUCCUGCCCACCCCACCCACUGCGGGUCCAGAGUGUUUCUCAGGAGGCCUUCAUGUUAGGGGGUGGGGUGCGUAUGUGUGUGUCAUUAUUUUUUCCCAUCAGUUUGUGACAGCAUAUCAUUUCUUGAAAGGAGCCCUUUCUCUCUGUCUAGACUUUCACUAUCUUGCAGCAUUUGUUCUCCAGAGCAGUUGGAAACAGGACAGUCACUGGACUCAAAAACAAACAAACAAACAAAAGCCAGGCCAUGAAAGUGAGGCCAGAGGCCUUCACCCUGGCCUCUGAACCUGGCAUGAGAGGUGAUUAGAAGUGCCUCCUGGGUAUCCACACCGAGACUGCAGGUGAGGCGAGGCCGAUGUCACAGGAAGAAACCAAGCUCCAAAAGGAUGCCACCUGCCUGUGUCGCACAGUUGCCAAAUGGCGAAGCCAGGAGGAAAGCCCAGGGCAGCCUCCCCACUGAGGGCUCUUUUCAAGACAUUACAGCCGCCUCCCUUCUCAAGAAGGCCUGAGCAGAGGGCUCAAGAAGCCGCAUUUCUGAAGGUGAGGACCUGGGUUGCCAUGACGACGGAAGAGGCGGGUAGGGAGGCAGGGCCCCGGCCUAACACAGAAGGCAGCCAGAGCUCCCCCAGUCCCUCUGCCCUUCCCAAGGGCAAGGAGGAAGGAGCAGGUACUGUCCACAUUCUUCAGGUUGCUGUGCCCAGGAGAGGCCCAACCGUGGGAGGGGACCACAGGCAGCUGUGUUGAUGCUGCUGAGAGAGGGGUCAUGACCUGGAGGUUUGUUUGAAAACCUGAAUAAACAUCUUCUAUCAGAGGGAGAGUUUAUGCUCCUUAGCCAAACAAGUUGUUGGGGAUGAUGUAUUGUGAACGGAUUUGUUAAGUCUGAGCCGGGGCCAUAAACUCUCCCCAAACCCCUAAGACCACUGGGGAGAAGGCCUCGUCUCUGGCCAGUGACUCUGUGUCUCCCCCUCCCGGCCUGGCCUUCACUGAAAGACACAGGCUCUUCCCAGAGGGUGGCCCUGUCCCACCCCAAGCUGGGAGUCCCCCAGCUCCCAUCCCGUUCCUCUACCUUCCCCUGCGUGAGCUGAACGGCAAGCGGACCCUUCGACCCCGGCCAGGAAGCAGAGAGCUAGAAAAUAAGUUCCAUGAGGUCAGGGUUCUUGAUCUGUUUUCAUCACUGAUGUGUUCCCAGUACUGAGAGCAGUGUCUGACAUACAGUGGUGUUCAAUAAUUAUUGGAUGGAUGGAUGGAUGGAUGGGUAAGAGAAGAAAUAACAGCCAGGAGCCUCUUCCGUUCACAGGUACAGAAGUCUCCAGGGGAGGGGACUGGGGCCAGGGGUGUGGGUCUGACAGUGUGAUACCCAUCGGGGGGUGGGGGGGGGUCAAUGCCCAGGUGCCCUUUGUCCCUCUGCUAAGUCAUCGGGGGUAAAAUUAUAACCAAGCCUGGGAGUAUGGGAGGAACGCUGAGCCCAUUUGUACAAAGGCGAGUGUGGCAGCCCUCCAGGGAAGAGGGUUGCCCAGUGGGACGACUCAGUGUCUCUGGACAGUUUAUUUUACAUGGGAUGAAUCUAAGCAUCUCAAGUGUACACACAGCGCCGAAGGAAAAAAAAAAAAGAGAACAUUUAACUUCCUGAAAAUGCUUUAUAAUAAUGCAGAACAAUUAUAUAUAGCAAACGCCUUCAAAAUUUAAACCCUUUAAACAUUUAACUUUUCAGCAUUAAUACACACAAAUGCUAUUACGGGGCUCGGGUGGGGUGGGGACAGGGUGGGAAGGGUGGAUUACAGCCUCCAUAGGGAUCAGAGUUUCAAGAGUGUUACUUAUAAAUUAUAGUACAUCAAUUUUAUUUACUGAUCUAGGCAGCCAGGGGAUGGGAGGAUAUACAGUGUGGAGUAAACACAUUCAUUCUGGGAGGAGGAAUGCUGGAGGAGACACCGCUGUUUAACGUUAAAAAUGUAUAAAGUAUUUAGCAAAAGUUACAGAAAACAGAGCAAACAAGCAAGUCUGUUAGAAAAUUCCACUUUCAUGGGGUUUGCUGAUGUGCUCGUUUGUGAAAGGGCUGCCCACCCCCUUCAUCUCCUUCCUAAGGGCAGAGAUGCAAAUUUGGGGCCCCUGUCACCAAGGAUGGCUCGUGUCCCUUUGAAUGACUGUCCCUGGGUCCACAUGGCUGCCUGGAGGCCACAGUCCCGAGAGCCAGUCUGCUGCCGCGUGUGGCGCCGGAUGGGGAGCAACUCCACUCGGUAACACACGGGUCCCGGGAGGGGAUGUGACUUAACUUCAGGUUAUGGGACAAAUGAGACAGCAGAGCAGGGCCAGUCCGGUGCUCUUGCCCUGGUACCAUAUGCUUUCCUUCCUCAUCCCCAUGUCACACUGUCCCUAGGAGAGCACGCAUGUGCCUGACCCCCUGCAUCCCACCGCUGCAAUCCCAUUAGGAAUUUCCCUCAGACACAAAGGGUCAAUUCCCCUGAACAGCACAUAGAGAUCCAAGUUCAUCACAGCCCCUCUUCCCUCAGAGGCACCUCCCAACAAAGGCACCCAACAGCCACGCCCCAGCAUCUAGGGGGUUAGGGGAAAUGGAACAUUGGUUUUUGUCUCUUGUCUCGGUCUCACCCAAACCAGGAAAGGGGAGUUGGGUCCCUCACUUUCAGGAAAGGCCCGACAGGAAUGACUUUCAUGGUGUGAAAGUCUUUCGUGGUCCCUGGCAGCGUGGGGCCCUGUGACUUGGGUUCCAUGGCCCAUACCUUCACCUGGCCUGGACCCAAGAAUGUCUUCCAUUUGCUGGGAGAGGUGCUGGUUGCCUUCCGGGGCUCAACUUUCACUGAGCAGGGCACGAUCAGGAUGUGCCUGGAGGAGUUCUUACCUUGGGGGUCAGGCCCAGAGCUGACCAGUGUCAGCUGGGUGUGGCCCUCUCUCUGCCACCAUCCAGUACAGUGAGGGCACAGGCCAGGUGAGCAAAGUUCCGGCAGCGACAAGCACCUGAAGGGAGGGGGCCGUGUCUUCAUGCCUGUUUAUGCUCCUUGGAAGUGACUUUCAGGACAUGGUGUCAAAACUUGGUGGAGGAAAAUUAAUGGCUUCUGCUUUCUUUAGGGGUCCAAGGAGGAACUACCUCAUUCUCAACAGCUCACGAAACUCGUAAGUUUUUGUGUCUGAACAGAGAAGCGCCUGGGUAUCCCUCUCAUGAGGGUGUUAGGUGACAUCACGCACAGCCGUGCUGACGGGACACAGAUUGGGCAUGACGUGGGCACAGGGUACAAAACUGGAGGUGCCAAGGGGAGGAGACAGAACGCAGCAGCUGGAGGAGGCCUGGGAGACCGUCUAGAACGAACACCUUCAGUCUGCCGAUGAAGGAACAGAGAUCCAGGAGAGGGUGGUGAUGGGCUCCCUGUCUUCUCAUCCACGCUCCCUCCACCCACCUUCCACACCCUCUAACCCUCACCAAAUGGCAGGGACUGGGCGAGUUGAAGGGAGGGUCCCCAGAAGCAAGCAGAACUACCAGCUGAGAUGCCAGCGGAAAUGGAGGGCAGUGGAGACCCUGCCCGCCCCCUCCCCCUGACCCC